GCCGCGGUAGCUCAAUUGGCAGAGCAUCGCACGCCAAAUGCGAAGGUUGUGGGAUCGUUCCCCACCUACGGCA
This 73-nucleotide transfer RNA is filed under the name Dermacentor andersoni. RNAcentral describes it as "transfer RNA tryptophan (anticodon CCA)". Lineage: Eukaryota; Metazoa; Arthropoda; Arachnida; Ixodida; Ixodidae. The record is from RNAcentral.